GCAAGUCGAGCGCGAAAUCACUUCGGUGAGAGUAGAGCGGCGGACGGGUGAGUAACGCGUAGGAAUCUACCUAAUAGUGGGGGAUAGCCCAGGGAAACUUGGAUUAAUACCGCAUACGCCCUACGGGGGAAAGCGGGGGAUCUUCGGACCUCGUGCUAUUAGAUGAGCCUGCGUAAGAUUAGCUUGUUGGUGAGGUAAGAGCUCACCAAGGCGACGAUCUUUAGCUGUUCUGAGAGGAUGAUC
RNAcentral lists this ribosomal RNA (243 nucleotides) under uncultured bacterium. RNAcentral describes it as "partial 16S ribosomal RNA". It matches the Rfam family "Bacterial small subunit ribosomal RNA", at positions 57 to 305 of the family's 1533-position model. The record is from RNAcentral.